This 645-nucleotide ribosomal RNA is filed under the name uncultured eukaryote. RNAcentral's name for it is "SSU rRNA". It matches the Rfam family "Eukaryotic small subunit ribosomal RNA", at positions 82 to 848 of the family's 1831-position model. The record is from RNAcentral.
UGAAACUGCGAAUGGCUCAUUAGAACAGUUAUAGUUUAUGUGAUAUAUUAAAUGGAUAACUGUAGGAAACUAGAGCUAAUACAUGCCAAGGCCGACAGGCUGCAUUUAUUAGAUAUACCAAGAAGGUGAAUCAUAAUAACUUUGCAAAUCGAAACUACGUUUCGAUACAUCAUUUAAGUUUCUGACCUAUCAUGCUCUCGAUGGUAGUGUAUUGGACUACCAUGGCAGUCACGGGUAACGGAGAAUUAGGGUUCGAUUCCGGAGAAGGAGCCUGAGAAACGGCUACUACAUCUAAGGAAGGCAGCAGGCGCGUAAAUUACCCAAUCCUAAAUCAGGGAGGUAGUGACAAGAUAUAACAACGCGAUUAAAUGUCGCGAUUGUAGUGAGGGUGUUCUAAAAAUAGCUUCGAGUACGAUUGGAGGGCAAGUCUGGUGCCAGCAGCCGCGGUAAUUCCAGCUCCAAUAGCGUAUAUUAAAGUUGUUGCAGUUAAAAAGCUCGUAGUUGGACUUCAUAAGAUGUAAAUGGGAUAACCAUUUGCUCUUUACCAGUCUUUGACUGUUACUGUGAGAAAAUUAGAGUGUUUCAAGCAGGCAAUUGCAGGAAUACGUUAGCANNGAAUAACGAAUGUAUCUACAAUUUGGUUGA